GUAACCUACAAGCCGGUCGGACGAUCAUUCCAAACGGACCAAAACAUUUUUUCGGAGAAGUUGACGUGGAGGUGUCUGUCAACGAUGACUGAUAUUAAAGCAGAAAUCUCCGCUGACAGCUCCGCUGCAAUUCAGAGUCCAAAUGCGCCCUCUCAACCCAACAACCCACUGUCAAGGAAGCUCAACAAAAUCCUGGAGACGAGGCUGGACAAUGACAAGGAGAUGCUGGAGGCUCUGAAGGCUCUGUCCGUGUUCUUCACCGAAAACAGUUUGCGCACCAGGAGAAACCUUCGCGGUGACAUCGAGAGACGGAGCCUGACGAUCAACGAGGAGUUCGCACGGAUAUUUAAAGAUGUGAAAGAGGAACUCGAAAGUGUCCAUGAGGACGUCCAGGCUAUGAGCACAUGUUGUGACGAGAUGACCAACAGAUUGAAGGCUGCAAAGGACCAAACUCAAGACCUCAUCGUAAAAACCAACAAGCUGCAGGGAGAAAAUCACCGCCUGGAGGUCAGAGCUCAGGUCGCUCAGGCUUUUCUCGUCAAGUUCCAACUGUCUCACGAGGAGAUGGCCACACUGCGAGGGGCUCGGGAUGCAGCCAUCACUGAGAAUUUUUUCAAAGCCCUCAGCCGAGUGAAGCACAUCCAUGAGGAUGUGAAAAUCCUGUUGCGGACCAACCAGCAAACUGCAGGGCUAGAGAUCAUGGAGCAGAUGGCGGUGUUACAGGAGACAUCGUAUGAGCAGCUCUACCGCUGGGCUCAGAAUGAAUGCAGGGGACUGACCCAGGAGUCUUGUGACAUUAGCCCUGUGCUGACUCAAGCCAUGGAGGCCUUACAGGACCGGCCUGUCCUUUACAAGUACACUCUGGAUGAGUUUGGGACCGCGCGCAGGUGUGCGGUGGUACGAGGCUUCAUUGACGCCCUCACGCGCGGUGGGCACGGAGGAACUCCCCGCCCCAUAGAGAUGCAUUCACAUGACCCCAUGAGGUAUGUUGGCGAUAUGCUGGCCUGGCUGCACCAAGCUACUGCUUCAGAGAAAGAGCAUCUAGAUGCUCUGCUGAAGCAAGUCACCCUGCAAGUCGUGGAAGAGAACAUGCAGGAGGUGGUUGGACACAUCACUGAGGGCGUCUGCAGGCCGCUGAAAGUUCGGAUAGAGCAGGUCAUUGUCGCUGAGCCAGGGGCCGUGCUGCUCUAUAAACUUUCCAACCUGCUUAAGUUCUACCACCACACCAUCAGCUCUAUAAUUGGGACCAGCGUGGCCUCGUUGCUCAUCACUAUUGAGGAAAUGCACAUCCUCAGCAAAAAGAUGUUUUUCAACAGCCUGAGCCUUCACGCGAGCAGACUCAUGGACAAGGUGGAGCUGCCUCCUGCAGACCUGGGGCCGACGGCCUCCCUCACUCAGACGCUGUCCCUCCUCAGGGAGGUGCUGGCCUCCCACGACUCCUCAGUGGUUCCUCUGAACGCCCGUCAGGCUGACUUUGCUCAGGUUCUCUCUUGCAUCUUGGAUCCUCUCCUCCAGUUGUGCACCGUGUCAGCCAGUAACCUGGGCACCGCCGACAUGGCUACCUACAUGGUCAACUCGCUGUACGUCAUGAAGACGACGCUGUCUCUCUUUGAGUUUACUGACAAGAGACUCGAGAUGCUUGAGUUUCAGAUCGAGGCUCACCUCGACACUCUGAUCAACGAGCAGGCAUCCUACGUGCUGACCCGGGCCGGACUGAGCUACAUCUACAGCUGUGUCCAGCAGCACAGUGCUGAACAGGGUCCUCUGUCCCUCCUCCCCAGUAUGGACAGCUCUUCUGUGAAAGCAGCAAUGGUCCAGUUCGAUCGCUACUUGUCGUCGCCGGACACUCUCGUGAUGCCACAGCUCAACUUCCUGCUCAGUGCGGCCAUCAAGGAGCAGAUCUUCCGUCAGUCAACAGAGCUGGUGUGCAGGGCCUAUGGGGAGGUUUACGCAGCACUGACCAGCCCAGCGAAUGCCUACAAAGACCCAGAGAACCUGUUGCCCAGAUCCCCUCAGCAGGUCCAGACUCUGCUGUCCUGAAGGACGCUGUGGUCGCACCUUGUUGAUGUCGAAAAAGCAGCGGGCGAGCCCCGGCACCGGACGGCCCGCAGGAUCCCCACGUUCUCCAUCAGCACACGACCGAAUCCCUGAACCCCCCGGAGACAGACGGGCCUAUUCACACCAGCAGAAUCUGGAGAACAAGAACAUGCAACAAAUUCACCAUGACUAAUUCCCCUGUGAGUAAUCCAACAUGCUGUCAAUCAUUACUCACACAUAGGGAUCACUAGUCUCCGCUCUCAUUGGUCCGAAUGCAGCCGCGCUUUUGCGCUUCUUCAAAGCAAAGUCCUGUGACUCCCACCCUGAGGCGAAAGAACAGGGCCAUUGUGUGUGUGUGCGUGCGUGCGUGCGUGCGUGCGCGUGUGUGUGUGUGUGUGCGUGCGUGCGUGCGUGCGUGUAGGAGGAGAGAGGGAAAAAGGCAGAGAUUAUAUGGACAAGGGGUAGUUCUUGUCACCGGGGUCAAGGCCAAAAAACUCGGUCAACCCACUUUCAUGUGUCCCUGCUCAGGGGCGGUAAACAAACACGACUGUGAGCAAAAGCUAUGGCUGCGUUACACACGGCUGUGUUUGUGUGUGUGUGUUUGUGUGUGUGUGUGUGUGUGUG
Scophthalmus maximus (turbot) is the source of this 2661-nucleotide RNA transcript. It is a transcript of the gene named component of oligomeric golgi complex 6, with no coding region annotated. The record is from RefSeq and is a predicted model, not a curated record. Lineage: Eukaryota; Metazoa; Chordata; Actinopteri; Pleuronectiformes; Scophthalmidae. The transcript has 20 exons.